GGGCACAUGGUGUAGUUGGUUAUCACGCUCGCUUAGCAGUGGAAUUAAUUCCGGACCUGCGAGAGGUGUUGGGUUCAAUUCCCAAUGUGUCCA
Non-coding RNA from Mycena polygramma, 93 nucleotides. The record is from the annotation of a GenBank genome assembly. NCBI's taxonomy places the organism in Eukaryota, Fungi, Basidiomycota, Agaricomycetes, Agaricales, Mycenaceae.